AUGCUGGGUAUUUCGGAGAAACUUUAUAUCUGCAUUUUUCUCAGAAGUGAUUGACUAUUCAAAACAGAGACAUCUUAAUACAAAGCGAAGUGUAGCAGUUUCGAAACUGCUGUUUGCAUGAAAUUUUCACUAAAACAUAUAUGUGUCUAGCCCAGCAAUAUACUGUCAAGCAACGACGAGUCACCACGAGUGCGCACUGUCAUCAAAAAGAAACUUUAUUGCCUUCAGAGCGUGUACUGUUUUAGGACUAAUUGUUAUGUUAGUAAGUAAUUCCAAGAAACUCACUACCUGUAAUUGAUGCUGACGUAAUUUUCUCGGAAACAAUAUAGGGAUGCGCCAGAAAAGACAAGAACCCAGUCACAAAGGUGAAACGUUGGAAGGAGAUUCCAAAAUUUCUCUGUGAACACAUUCUAAAAAUUUCAGCUUGUUUGCUUGUAGUUUAGGAAUCGAUGUUGUCAGCUUUGUUAUCAAGCGACACUCGUUGUUAUUAGGAAUGUGCUAACUCAGCGCUAUUUGAGAUUUUGAAGGUAUGCUUAGCUCAGCAAUAUUUUGUCAAGAAACGAUGAGUCAUUGUCAUUACAAAAUCAUACAUUUCGAGAUCAGCCAAUCAGACGUUGAUGAAAUAUCUUAAUAAAGAGGCAUCUGAAUACAAGAUCACUCAUCCACAAAGGUAAAACGGUCCUGGAAGAGACUUCAAAAUUUCACGGGGAUUCGUCUUACAAAUUUCAGCUCAUUUCCUUGAAGCGAAUUUGCAGCAAGAAUGGACAAAGAAGGAGGUCAUAAGACUGAUGGGGGAUCUAAGCAUUUGAUGGAUAAAGAAGCGGCUUCUCGCAUCCAGGCGGCGGAGGCAAAACAACAUGGCGGCGGGGUCGAGAAAGGAGGCUUCGCUUCGCGUGCUCAGUCCACUGCUGACAAGCGUGAAAACCAGAAAAACUAGACAAGCAUGAAGACAAGAACAACUAGAACUUAAAAGUAGAUCGUGAAAAUCAAAAUACGAGCACCUUAAAGGUAGAAAUGUGUAAUUCGGCUAAUGUGGCACAACUGUCUAGCCGUAGAAUCGUUAAAUGUAUGUAGCGUUGUUCUUUGAUUAAACGAUUACAAAAAAAGGUA
This is a long non-coding RNA of Orbicella faveolata, 1110 nucleotides long. Lineage: Eukaryota; Metazoa; Cnidaria; Anthozoa; Scleractinia; Merulinidae. The record is from RefSeq and is a predicted model, not a curated record.